Molecule: ribosomal RNA, 1049 nt
Filed under: Tzeanania taiwanensis
Lineage: Eukaryota; Fungi; Ascomycota; Dothideomycetes; Pleosporales; Tzeananiaceae
Description: SSU rRNA
Rfam family: Eukaryotic small subunit ribosomal RNA
Source: RNAcentral
UUCUAGGUAUAGCAUUAUACCGUGAAACUGCGAAUGGCUCAUUAAAUCAGUUAUCGUUUAUUUGAUAGUACCUUACUACUUGGAUAACCGUGGUAAUUCUAGAGCUAAUACAUGCUAAAAACCCCGACUUCUGAAGGGGUGUAUUUAUUAGAUAAAAAACCAACGCCCUUCGGGGCUUCUUGGUGAUUCAUGAUAACUUUACGGAUCGCAUGGCCUUGCCCGGCGACGGUUCAUUCAAAUUUCUGCCCUAUCAACUUUCGAUGGUAAGGUAUUGGCUUACCAUGGUUUCAACGGGUAACGGGGAAUUAGGGUUCGAUUCCGGAGAGGGAGCCUGAGAAACGGCUACCACAUCCAAGGAAGGCAGCAGGCGCGCAAAUUACCCAAUCCCAAUACGGGGAGGUAGUGACAAUAAAUACUGAUACAGGGCUCUUUUGGGUCUUGUAAUUGGAAUGAGUACAAUUUAAACCUCUUAACGAGGAACAAUUGGAGGGCAAGUCUGGUGCCAGCAGCCGCGGUAAUUCCAGCUCCAAUAGCGUAUAUUAAAGUUGUUGCAGUUAAAAAGCUCGUAGUUGAAACUUGGGUCUGGCUGGCAGGUCCGCCUCACCGCGUGUACUUGUCCGGCCGGGCCUUCCUUCUGGAGAACCUCAUGCCCUUCACUGGGCGUGUUGGGGACCAGGACUUUUACUUUGAAAAAAUUAGAGUGUUCAAAGCAGGCCUUUGCUCGAAUACGUUAGCAUGGAAUAAUAGAAUAGGACGUGCGGUCCUAUUUUGUUGGUUUCUAGGACCGCCGUAAUGAUUAAUAGGGACAGUCGGGGGCAUCAGUAUUCAAUUGUCAGAGGUGAAAUUCUUGGAUUUAUUGAAGACUAACUACUGCGAAAGCAUUUGCCAAGGAUGUUUUCAUUAAUCAGUGAACGAAAGUUAGGGGAUCGAAGACGAUCAGAUACCGUCGUAGUCUUAACCGUAAACUAUGCCGACUAGGGAUCGGGCGAUGUUCUUUUUCUGACUCGCUCGGCACCUUACGAGAAAUCAAAGUUUUUGGGUCCUGGGGG